This 254-nucleotide ribosomal RNA is filed under the name uncultured prokaryote. RNAcentral describes it as "partial 16S ribosomal RNA". It matches the Rfam family "Bacterial small subunit ribosomal RNA", at positions 525 to 777 of the family's 1533-position model. The record is from RNAcentral.
ACGUAGGGGGCGAGCGUUGUCCGAAUUUACUGGGCGUAAAGCGCGCGUAGGCGGUUUCUUAAGUCUGGGGUGAAAGGUUCAGCGCUCAACGUGAACAGUGCCUUGGAUACUGGGAGACUUGAGUCUGGGAGGGGGCAGUGGAAUUCCUGGUGUAGCGGUGAAAUGCGUAGAUAUCAGGAGGAACACCGGUGGCGAAGGCGGCUGCCUGGCCUAAGACUGACGCUGAGGUGCGAAAGCGUGGGUAGCGAACGGGA